UGCAGAUCAACUGUGUCUAUCCACCCUUUCUUGGUAGAUGCUUUUGGUAGUUAUCUUCCAACUGAUGAGAAUGAUCAUUCAUCAAAUGAACACAUGACAUGGAUGAAAGA
Xenia sp. Carnegie-2017 is the source of this 110-nucleotide long non-coding RNA. RefSeq lists it as uncharacterized. The record is from RefSeq and is a predicted model, not a curated record. NCBI's taxonomy places the organism in Eukaryota, Metazoa, Cnidaria, Anthozoa, Malacalcyonacea, Xeniidae. The transcript is spliced from 2 exons.